Molecule: ribosomal RNA, 229 nt
Filed under: uncultured bacterium
Lineage: Bacteria
Description: partial 16S ribosomal RNA
Rfam family: Bacterial small subunit ribosomal RNA
Source: RNAcentral
UGCGUAGGCGGUUUAUUAAGUCAGAUGUGAAAUUCCGGGGCUCAACCCCGGCGCUGCAUUUGAAACUAAUAGACUUGAGGAUAAUCGGAGAAAGCAGAAUUCCAUGUGUAGCGGUGGAAUGCGUAGAUAUAUGGAAGAAUACCGGUGGCGAAGGCGGCUUUCUAGAUUAUUCCUGACGCUGAGGCACGAAAGCUAGGGGAGCAAACAGGAUUAGAUACCCUGGUAGUCC